UUAAGCCUACCCUACUGCCUACGUAUCUAAAAUCAAUCUCCCUUUUGCUUGGACUUUCAAUCGAACAUAUGGAGUGUGUGUGAGAGAGAGUUUCUUUUUAGAACUGAGACGGGGAUGGUUUUUCGUAUCAAACAUGGAUAGGGGGGGCAAGGGCCAAGCAGGGUGGGGAUGACAAAGCUGGACAAAUAAAGGAGCAAGCGAGCGAUGAAAAGAAUAAGAAAAGCGUCCUCAUCUCCUUGGCCUUGGUUUUUCAAGCAUUGGGUCACAGGACAUGUGGAGAGUCUGGAGAUGGAGCCUGGAGGGAGGGAUAGAUCACAGCCGAAAAUUAAAGAAAAAGCCGUCCUCCAUCCUAACCCCAUCCAUGGUGGAAAAGGAGAGAACUUGACAAAGUAAAUAUGUUACUUUACGCAAACCAACCUGCUGGGUGGCCAUAUUAGUUCAGCAUGGGGAACUGCCUCUGCCUCAAUCAGAAUACCAGUCCUUCAGCGUCAUCUUGAGGACGACGACCACGGACCACCCAACCUAGCCUCUUUCCCCGGAUCCUCGGUGUCAUUCUUUUCUUGGGCGAGCAGUACAAGCAACGAUGAACAAAAGUUUGAGAGUUUCAUUGGGGGGAUUCACUUCAUGGAUUCAUUUUACCUGAAAUACCCGCGGCUCUCUCUCACUCUCUAACAUCAAUUCGUAACAUUAAUUGGUUAAGUAAAACCAUACGUCAAUGAUCAAUCACCAACAUAUAAAGUCAACUUUUCUUGCUAUCAUCUCAACUUUGUGUGCGUACUUACGCCAAAAUGAUGUGUUCAGUUCGACUGGGUUCAAUUGAUUCUUUCUCUCCAUCUAUUUAAGAAAUUAGAAAGAAACGAAUUGGAUUCAGUUCUGUUCGUAGAUGCGCAUUGUAAAAGCAAGGCUAGCUAUGGAACGAAAUGAUUGAUCCCACAGCUAUCAGAUUCAUCUAAUCCCAACUUCUUUAAAUCUA
Molecule: long non-coding RNA, 973 nt
Organism: Nelumbo nucifera (sacred lotus)
Lineage: Eukaryota; Viridiplantae; Streptophyta; Magnoliopsida; Proteales; Nelumbonaceae
Source: RefSeq, a predicted model, not a curated record